UAUUAAAUUAUUUUAAAACUUUAUCCAAAAUUAUUAAAUCAUUUAAAAAGCUUAUCUUAAAAUAUUUAAUAAGCAUUCCAAAUGAUUCAAUUCCAAAGUUACCUUUAUAUGUUUAUUUACUAAAAUGAAAAGGGAUUUUAAAGAGAAUUUAAAAUUUAAAGCCACAGUAGUCAACCUGAAAGCAUAGCUGACUGUGUCUGUUUCAACUAUUUCGAGAUUAAAUUUAAAAUUCACUUUGAAUUAAGUUUUAAUUUACAUGUUAGUAAAUAACACUGUUAACGUUUAUGGGAAUGCUUGAAGAUAAAUCAGUUGGAAUUUUUUUUUUUUUUAACAUUACUGAAUCAUUUGGAAAGCUUACUAAACUGGAGUCUUUACUUAGCCAACAUUAUAUAAUGGAAUGAUAAUUUUGGUUAUAUUUAGUUAUUUUAUUGAGGCUAAAAAAAGAGUAGGUUAUAUCUUGGAGUUUGGUAUAAUUAGUAUACAGCACCAUAAUACUAAGACACACUGCACUACAUUUCACAUUAUAAAACCAUUCUCUGACCCUGCACCAGUUGCUAAAAUACUGAAAUUGAAUGUCGUCAUUUAUGCAACCAUUGCUUUAUUAUUCUCUAUGCUCUAACCAUCUGCACUAUGCUCUUUAAUCAAAGUUGCUUCUGUCAAUGUCCUUGACUAUUGUAAUUUAAACAAAACAUCUUGUAUAAUGGUUGAAUACAAGCAAUCACUCCUCAAACCAGCAGAAACACUUUGUACAUCUCAACGCUCAUUCUAAUGCUUGCUUUUAGUAUUAUUUUUGACCAAUCGGAAAAAAAUGUGGUUUGGGGCAAAUUUACAAGGUUUUGAGAUGUCACAAUCAUCAGGAUAAACUCAUUUAAAUGUAAUUUUCUAUAUUAAUCUAUGGAGUUGGGUUGUUUACUGUAUUUCAAACGUGCCUACAAAUUGCACAAUUUGGAUAUAAUAUUUCAAUAUUUACAAAUGAAAAGUCAAAUGCACAAAAUGACGAGUAAGAACUGAAAUGUAAACCCCUAAGUAAUAAAUUUCCAUGCUCAUUAUAGGAGUUUAGGUUAUCCUGAAAUACUGAACAGAAUCUGAAUCAACUCAAAAUGUGUCAAAUUAUUUGCAGACUGGGGAGUCCAGCACAUUGUUCUUUGUCCAUUGACUUAGUAAAUAGCCUUUAAAGUUUCCCCAAAAUCCCACUGGCUUACAUAAAACCUGUUAAAAGGUCCCUUUAACCCACAACACAAACAGCCUAUAAAGGGUCCUUAUAUCCUUUAAUAGUCUUCAGAAAAACAGGACUGGUAACCCCACUCUCUGUACCUAAUGUUCAUAUAAUAAUAUAAUAGAAAAAAGGUACAAGAGGUAAGGGAUUAUAAAAACAAGGGAUCCCAGGAACAUAGAUCCGAUGGUGGUGAUUUCAAUAUGUUUCAUGGCUUAUGAACGGAAUGGAAUUAGUGCAAUUGCCUCCUAUUAGGAUCCUCAAUACACAUUGGGAUGUGGAUAAGCCAAGGGUUCACAAGACACCAACUCCUUCCCAAUUAAACCUCCACACAAAGUAGACCACCAAGUAGGUGCCCACAUGUUCCCUAACAUUAAUUUUGCCAACCAACUUCUUUUCAUUAGUGUGUCAGGGAAUUCCCACCAUUCAGAGCUAUGUGGUCAGUAGACCUGUUGAAGACUAUUAUAAAAAAAAACAAAAAAAACUUUCCUUCUAUACUCAGUGUAGUUAAAUGUUGUCCACGUAUCUUAAUUUCUUAGUAUAAGCAUGGAUUAAAAUAUAAACCUUCAGACAUGUACAACAAUACUUGACUCAAUUAAAAAUACCCCCUUCUCUUUUAACAAAAUGGUCUGUGUGUGACUGGACUAGGGUCUGGGACUAAGCACUUCGUUUUAUUUCAGUUACUAAUAGUAAAGGGAUACAUUAAAUAAAACACUAUGUAGAUUAUUGCACAGUAAGAAGUUACAACACUUACAAAUAUUGGCUUGCUACAUACCUUGCAACAAAGAUCCAGCGAAUUAUAAAAACACCGGAAAUGUCAAAAUCUUAGAUAACAUCGAGCAUUUUUUUUAAUGUACUCUUUAAUUUUGGUUUGCUGUUAUGAAAUGUUUGUAUGUUUAAGAACAAUCAAUAAGGGAGCUGUUAUAUAUAAUAUAUAAUUCCUCGAUUUACAUGUUGUUCAGUCUAUAACAAUGUUGGUCGUGUUGCUCCAAUAGACUGAAUGUAUUUAAUAUUUAAUUUGAAUAUUUUUUUAAAUAAUUUUUCCAGUAAUCAAAGUUAAUUCAGAUACAUUAGAAGGAGAUUCAGUUGAGAUUUAUUCAGAGUUGGGAUACUAGAACAUAUCAUCUUUUCGAGCUGUUGAAUUGGGCAUGGCUGGUAUGUGGUAUAUAGUAAACAAAUGCUGUAAGAGGGAAAUUGAUUAACUAAUCAAGGCAGCUACUUUGAUUACUCCUAAAUCGAUUAUUUUCUUUUCUUUCUGCAGUAUAUUAAUUCUAUAUACUUCCCCCUACACUGAAUUAAUGUAAAAUGUUAAUGAAUUUCACCUAAAUUUCAGAGUUUGAAUUGGUUCAUUUGAUUUUGGCCAAAUUUGCUGCAACCUUUUCAGCCUCAGAAAUCAUUGAUUUGAUCAAAAAUGAGUCUCGUUGUAAUAAAACCAGAGUUUUGUAUUGUUUGUAAAUACUUUGAAUUAUACACUCAAAAAAGAAUACACUUGGUAUUAAAAGGAUAAUAUGCCAAAUGCAAUGUUUCUGUGUAAUCUUUCUAACAAAAUAUCUAUAAAGAUUAAAUGUCACUGGUUUGGACGACUUGAUUAGAUUAGAUGGUUUUCGACUUAAUACCAAACUAUUCUAUUGACAAAUAUUUCAAUUACAGGCAAAUUUCGGAAAUUUAAAAUGUAUGUCAUCAUGACCAUUUUCAUUUUUAUUUUCUACUUUUACAGUUUACACAGAAGGAGCUAAAUUAGUCAUAUAUUUAUGUUUCCUGCAGGUCAUUGUAAAGGGCAUCUGUCAU
RNAcentral lists this long non-coding RNA (3001 nucleotides) under Pelobates cultripes (western spadefoot toad). The record is from RNAcentral. Lineage: Eukaryota; Metazoa; Chordata; Amphibia; Anura; Pelobatidae.